Non-coding RNA from Schistosoma rodhaini, 48 nucleotides. The record is from Rfam. Lineage: Eukaryota; Metazoa; Platyhelminthes; Trematoda; Strigeidida; Schistosomatidae.
AUCCACCUGACGAGUCUCAAAUAGGACGAAAAGCGCCUUGUCCUGGAU